RNAcentral lists this ribosomal RNA (253 nucleotides) under uncultured bacterium. Its description in RNAcentral is "partial 16S ribosomal RNA". It matches the Rfam family "Bacterial small subunit ribosomal RNA", at positions 524 to 776 of the family's 1533-position model. The record is from RNAcentral.
UACGGGGGGGGCAAGCGUUGUUCGGAAUUACUGGGCGUAAAGGGCUCGUAGGCGGCCAACUAAGUCAGACGUGAAAUCCCUCGGCUUAACCGGGGAACUGCGUCUGAUACUGGAUGGCUUGAAUCCGGGAGAGGGAUGCGGAAUUCCAGGUGUAGCGGUGAAAUGCGUAGAUAUCUGGAGGAACACCGGUGGCGAAGGCGGCAUCCUGGACCGUAACUGACGCUGAGGUGCGAAAGCUAGGGGAGCAAACGGG